UGCAGUCGAGCGAACAGACGAGGAGCUUGCUCCUUUGACGUUAGCGGCGGACGGGUGAGUAACACGUGGGUAACCUACCUAUAAGACUGGGAUAACUUCGGGAAACCGGAGCUAAUACCGGAUAAUAUUUCGAACCGCAUGGUUCGAUAGUGAAAGAUGGCUYUGCUAUCACUUAUAGAUGGACCUGCGCCGUAUUAGCUAGUUGGUAAGGUAACGGCUUACCAAGGCAACGAUACGUAGCCGACCUGAGAGGGUGAUCGGCCACACUGGAACUGAGACACGGUCCAGACUCCUACGGGAGGCAGCAGUAGGGAAUCUUCCGCAAUGGGCGAAAGCCUGACGGAGCAACGCCGCGUGAGUGAUGAAGGUCUUCGGAUCGUAAAACUCUGUUAUUAGGGAAGAACAAACGUGUAAGUAACUGUGCACGUCUUGACGGUACCUAAUCAGAAAGCCACGGCUAACUACGUGCCAGCAGCCGCGGUAAUACGUAGGUGGCAAGCGUUAUCCGGAAUUAUUGGGCGUAAAGCGCGCGUAGGCGGUUUUUUAAGUCUGAUGUGAAAGCCCACGGCUCAACCGUGGAGGGUCAUUGGAAACUGGAAAACUUGAGUGCAGAAGAGGAAAGUGGAAUUCCAUGUGUAGCGGUGAAAUGCGCAGAGAUAUGGAGGAACACCAGUGGCGAAGGCGACUUUCUGGUCUGUAACUGACGCUGAUGUGCGAAAGCGUGGGGAUCAACAGGAUUAGAUACCCUGGUAGUCCACGCCGUAAACGAUGAGUGCUAAGUGUUAGGGGGUUUCCGCCCCUUAGUGCUGCAGCUAACGCAUUAAGCACUCCGCCUGGGGAGUACGACCGCAAGGUUGAAACUCAAAGGAUUGACGG
This 876-nucleotide ribosomal RNA is filed under the name Staphylococcus hominis. RNAcentral's name for it is "bacterial SSU rRNA". Lineage: Bacteria; Bacillati; Bacillota; Bacilli; Caryophanales; Staphylococcaceae. The record is from RNAcentral.